CGGCUGAGAAACCUCCUCUGCCAGAUCCUGACCUGAGCCAGGAGGCGGCCAGGAAACUGGAUUUUGGGACUGGGAUUUCAGAGAGGAAGCUGGAGAGCUGCAGGGUGGUCAUCUGUCACUUUAUUUUGCCCGUCUUGUAGCAUGUGGGUCUUUCGCAGCAGGAAGUGUGUUUUACAACCAGAGCCCCCGCCCUCCUGCAGCGCAGGCGCAGCUGGCUGGGCUCCUGCUUCCCACUCUCCACCUCAUCCAUAUUUGUCCUCGUCCCUGCCAGUCUCGAAAAGGCACUCUGUCACGUGUACACAGGAAAGGGCCCUGACAAGAGGAUGGGACUGCAGUUGUGGCUGCCAGGGCCCCGGCCAGGGUGAAAACAAGGAACAUUCCAGAGAAGAUCACAAGGAUGCGAAUAAAAUCGGAGCUGCACAGGGAUCUUUGGGCUGUUGGAGUGCAGUGGCACGAUCUCGGCUCAGUGCAACCUCCGCCUCCUGAGUUCAAGUGAUUCUCCUGCCUCAGCCUCCCUAGUAGCUGGGAUUACAGGACAAGGAGAGGGACAAAUUCCUUCUUGGCAUCCUUAUGGCCCUGUGACCUGCUAAUGAAUGCUGACUCUGAGUUGCUACUAGAAUUUGGUUUCCUUGUGGCUUCCCAGGAAUUGGUCUCACUCUGCUCACUCUGUCUCCCAAGCUGGAGUGCAGUGGUACAGUCACGGCUCACUGCAGCCUCCACUUCCUGGACUCAAGUGAUCUUCUCACUUCAGCCUUCUGAGUAGCUGGGACUACAGCCCCCUCUGCAGCUCUUCAUGGGGGUCCACUCAAGUCAGAAGCCACAUUUGGGUGUGAUUCAGAGAGCUGUUUAUGCAAAACCAGCUUUGUCACCAUCAGGCAAGGCACCUGAAUUCCCACCGCAGAGAGUGUUGUGGCCGUGAGGACUUUUCUGUCACCAGCCAUUUCCAGGUAGACCCAGUGUAAUCACAAGCAUCCUUGUAAGUGGCAAAGAGGCAGAGGAGACAGCGCCAGAGAGGCAGCUGCAUGAGAAGGAUCAAGAUGUUGCUGACUUUGAAGUUGGAAGAAGAAGGCCAUGAGCCUCAGUAUGUGGGCGGCUUCUAGAAGCUGGAAGGGGCAAGGAGAUGGAUUUGACCCUUCAGCCUCCAGGGGCAGCUGUACCUGCCAUCACUGAUUGUAGCCUGGUGAGGCCUGUUUUAGACUUCUGACCUGUAGAGCUGUAACAUAAUACAUUUGGGUUGUUUUCAACCACUAAGUUUGUGGUAAUUUGUUGUAGCAGCUGUAGAAAAUGAAUACAUAUGAAUCCUCUGGCAUUUGUUUGAGAUUUGCUCUAUGGCCUAGUAUGUGGUUGUAAAUGUUCCAUCUGUGCCUGAAAAAAUGUAUAUUUCUAAUUCAGUAGUCUCUGCUUUUUUUUUUUAUUUUGUACCCCAUCAAUAAAAUGAUUUUCAGCAUGUAUCCCCAAAUAAACAAUAUUUUAUUUAUUGAUUGAUUGAUAAACAGACAUGUUUAAUGAUAGCUUGCUUUUCACAGAGGUGACUUCGGAGACUUCUAAUCUAUAAUCCAGGAGUAUAUAACCAUGCAGCACAGACCAAUUAGUCACAUGUAAAAUAAACUAGAUUCUUACCAC
Molecule: long non-coding RNA, 1623 nt
Filed under: Homo sapiens (human)
Lineage: Eukaryota; Metazoa; Chordata; Mammalia; Primates; Hominidae
Description: PREDICTED lncRNA (TCONS_00059643)
Source: RNAcentral